UACGGAGGGAGCUAGCGUUGUUCGGAAUUACUGGGCGUAAAGCGCGCGUAGGCGGCUUUGUAAGUUAGAGGUGAAAGCCCGGAGCUCAACUCCGGAACUGCCUUUAAAACUGCAUCGCUUGAAUCCAGGAGAGGUGAGUGGAAUUCCGAGUGUAGAGGUGAAAUUCGUAGAUAUUCGGAAGAACACCAGUGGCGAAGGCGGCUCACUGGUCCGGUACUGACGCUGAUGUGCGAAAGCGUGGGGAGCAAACAGG
This 253-nucleotide ribosomal RNA is filed under the name uncultured bacterium. RNAcentral describes it as "partial 16S ribosomal RNA". It matches the Rfam family "Bacterial small subunit ribosomal RNA", at positions 524 to 776 of the family's 1533-position model. The record is from RNAcentral.